CCAUUUUUAAUGGCUGUAGAGGUUUUCACAGUAUAGAUGUUGUUAUUUACUUCCUUAUUGAUAGAUAUUUGGAUUUCUUCUGAUUUUUACUGUGUUCUUAUGCUUUUUUCUAAUUUGAUUUUUAGGGGAAGAAUGGGAAGCAAGUUUGUAGUAGUAGUAGGCUUGUAGUAAUAACAUCUAACAUCUGUUGAGCACAACAAGCAUGCAUGGGGGCACUGCGAUCGUUUCUGUUUUUACAGGUGAGGAAAGUGGGGCCUGGGGGAGAUGAAUAAUUUGCCCAGAGUCAUAUAGAUGGUGAUUAGCAGAGCUGAGAGCCUGGCAGUCCGGCUCCAGAGUUCCCAUGUGUCACCACUAUGCAUCGUUGUCUCUCGAAGGGUUCCUUCACAGAAAUGAUCUUCAUGUUUGCUGGAUGGACUUAGUGCCAGAAUGUCUCGGUAUAAUUUCUCCAUGUGAGAAUGGGUGCUUGCUCUCACUCAGGUAUAGCCUUUCUUCUGUGUACCCAGGUCUUUACUCGAGGUAAUCCUACUUGGACUCUUUUCCCGCCACCCCCUUCCUCUCUGUAUUUCUCUGCUUCUUAGUUACUCAGCUGAAAAACUGUGAUCUUUUGGGAAACCUUACCUACACAACCCACAGUGCACUCUCUACGAUCUCCUAGCAUCUCACCUUCCCUCACUAGCCUGGUCCCGGUGGAUGCCCAGUGGUGAGUGGUCACAGGAUGGAGCUGAGCCUGUGAACAUUUGUUCAUGUCCCAACUCAUUUUUUGUACCAUUCAUUUUGUCUUCUAUAUCUUUCAGGUUUUCCCACUGUACUGUCAGACUCUUAAAGAUAGUGCUUAUACCUAAUCUUAAAAAUCACAUACAAGAGUAAUUUUCCAUAUAAUACACGUUCAUCUUUUUUAACAUGUCAAAAACUCAAAGCAUGGGCAGAAUAAACUAUUUCUCAGACUUGCAAAUGGCCAAAAAAGAAGUUGCAGUGACUGGAUUGGAAGCUUUGUAUCUCUUGGCUCAGCAGCUGGACCCUUCCUAAGUGUGGGCUAGGUCUAGCCAGCUUUGUGCAGAGGGUUACACUGUUGCCAUGGACUUGAGAACUAUUUCUAUGCUUUCCUGGUUAGUGUAUGGUUUGAUAGUACCCGUCUGUGGCUUCCUCCUGAUGAUACAGUCUGUCUUCUCUCAGGUGCUUUUUAACCUACCAAUCCUGCCAGAGUUUGAUAUACAGGAGGUGUUUGCUCCACGACAGCAUCGCCCGCCAUCCAGCUCCCGACGAUCCUGACUGGAUUAAGAGGUUACUGCAAAGCCCCUGCCCUUUCUGCGAUUCUCCUGUCUUCUGAACGUCAGUGGUGGGGAGCUAGAAAGGGCACAUGCUCUGUUGCGGAAAUGCCCUCUGGCCUGAAGACGUGGGAUGCGCUGGCUAAGCCUGGCCUUCGAGUGGGAAGGCCCUCUUCAGGAGUGUAAAUAGGGCCCUGGGAACUCAUUUCUGAAGUACAGUCUCCAUCUCCAGGGACUAAAGGAGAUCUUUAAAACGACUGAGUGCAGAGACUGUAAGUCAUUCUGAGAGGAACACGAGCCCCCCACUCCUUACCCAGUGAGGAACACUUAUUUUUCAAGUGUUCUGACUGAAGCAACUUGAACAAAAAGAAUGCCCUAUCAUUUCUGGGAACAGAAUGAUCUCUUCUAGAGAGUUGGGCUAAGGGCCUUGCUGGACCAAGUUAGGCUUUAAUGCUUGCCUUGAUCUGGAAUUGCCUUGUGGCUCCCCAGAGUGUAAAUCACCUGUCACUGGUGUUCGGUGUGCCCCCAGACAUUCCGAGUGUCUAAAACAGCGCUUGGUCCUGAUACUUGGUUCUCCACAGAUAGCCCCAGAUCUGUAUCCCACGGAUUCUUGUUUCUCCUGCGUACUGAAAACAUGUUCAUAAAACUGUAUUUUCAAGAGGUUGAGGCCAAGACUAAAGUUGGUUUUAAUGUGUCAAAAAAUCAGGUGAUUCUUGUAAGUAAAUAACUGUGACUUAUUUUUGAUGAGCUCCCACAUUAUCAGAUUUCCAGUCCUAACUCCUUAAUAUGUCCAGGAUGUCGGGGGUUCCCAUUCACCCAUGUCACCUCCCUGCUUCCGACUGUCAUAGCCCAGAUGAGAUAUUUGUACAUAGAAGAAAAAGACUAUUUUCUCCCUAAAACUUUCAGUGUUUUUAAUGUUGACAUGUCCAGACAUUUCAUUUGUAUCCCCUCUCCUCUAUAAGAAUGUGCAGUCCAUCUAGAGACUUCCAGAAAACUUCCAGAAAGCGAUGGGCAGCCCAAGCAUGGAGGUGCUUAUGGUCCGCUGCCCCAGGUGUGUGUGGCUCCAUUGACGAGAGCCUGGGAAUUUCUUCUCAGCAAGGGUCCUUGAUGUUUUAUAAUACAGGUAUUUUCCUGUGGGCUUUUAAGAGGAGAUAUUAGGCAUUAAUUGGUCUUAAAAUCUGAAAUUAAAGAUGGACAUUCGGAUAUUACAGUGUUCUUGGAUUGCGAAAAUAGCGUCCUAGGGAUUGGUGCUAAUCAACAGGCCUGUGCUGCACGCAUGUGGAAAUGGUGCAUACUUCUGGGAAGGAGGAUGGCGAGUAUAAAAUGUGAAAUUCCCACUCCUGUUACAUGCUGUCUGUUUUGCCUUUAUUCCAACAUUUAUUCCUGCCUUUGUUGUGAUUCCUCAGUGAAAGACGUUUGUCCUUGCCAUGUGGACAGGACACUCCCGGACACGACCACAGGCCGCUGUGUCCGCGGGGUCGCAGGCACUGACUGGCACUGAGAGCCCUUCAGGCCUCCGAACAGCCUGCCUGACAUGUCUUCUGUUUCCUAUUCAAAUCAUGUGUUGUCUUCUGGGUUUAAUUCUGUAUUUGUUGGAGUCUUCUGCUUAUCUUUCUCAUCUCGGUCAUUUUGAGAACAGUGUUGACCCAGAUUCUAGGGCCCAGCACGUUAAAUUGGUUUUCAAGAAAGAGGGGCAGGCGGCAUUAGAAUCAUGAGAAGCACAGCUCCGAGGCUGUAUGGUUGCACUUGCUCGCGUCACAGGAACCACGACGGUAAACGUGGAGAUCAUGUCAAGGAAUUAUGACAGUGUCCUAAUCAUGGGAUGCUUAGUGUCACUUAUUCUUUGUUCCUCAUCAGGGUCAGUGUUUGAGUUGUUCUUAUUGGGGAAUUCUGUGCUGCUGCCAUUUAAAACUUACAUUAAGUUCUUACUUAGAGCAGUUGUACAUUUUUGGGGAACUUUACCUCGUGGCAGUUAACUAAAAGGGUCUCCCGAAUUAUUUUGUAUGUCUCUGUAGGAAUAAACAUGGCAACUGUUUUUCUAGAACAUGGCUUCUCUCUGCAUGGGGCUAGGCAUUCUUCAGACUCUGAAAUCCACCCAACAGCUCAGCCUGAGUUUCUGUGCCCGGAGUGGGGAGACCUCCCCCUUCUCCCGCCCGCUCCCCUCGUGCAUGGCAGCAUCGUACACACAGCCGGCUUCUGAUUUUACUAAGGGUCCGUGCACCUGAUGAUGGAGUGCCAGUCAGUGGGACUUUGGGAAAGCAGGGGUGACACCCGGAAUCUUCCAGCUCACUGCCUCUCCUGGCUUAAACUUGUCAUGCCCUCCACGCUUCCUAAAAUGUGCCUGAUCUGUUUCGUGGAUUUCAAGUUUAUCUCCGCUGUCACUGUAAGAACGGUUUCAGAAGCGGCAGAAAUGGUAGAGGCCAAGUUGCCGCGCUGCCUGGGAGUCGGGAGCAAAGACUGUAAGCAAUUAGACCUUUUCAGCUACAACACGGUUGCAUUCGGGGACUCUGAUAUCCACACCUGUAUCACGCUUUCUCUGCCUGGGGUUAAUUUGUCCCCAUUACUCCAGAUAAGAAAUUGAUAGCUUGUUAUGCUUGAUAUUCAUUCUGAAAUCCUCAUGUGUCCACCACCCAGACUUCAAGCAGUCUCUACCUACUAUUACAUCUGCCAAAACUACCAAUUAUUUUUCAGUGUCAGGAGUUAUUAGAACCACUGGCGAAGCUUGUGGUUGAGUGUGACAUCUUUCUGCUUCUCUCUAAGAAGGUUUUGGGGAUGUUAAUGUGGAAGCAUGUGGGUUGGACCUAUUCGCAAGUGUCACAGGUUAAUUAGGUGAAAGGAACGUUAAAGGGUAAUAAGUAUAAAAAUAUUUUCUGUUGUAAUUACAACGCUAUCAGCUAAGAAGCAGAAGUUGGUGCUUAUUGGUGCUUGUUAAGAGGAACACAGUGCUGGUUUUAUGAAAUACCUGCCCCCCUGGCAGCUAAAGACAAACUGCUUCAGAGUUUGGUGAAUUACCGCAGCUCCUGGAAUGAAACCAAGAUUACCAUCCCAGGCCCUGUUCAGCCUGCUCGCUCCUGACCCCUCUACUCUCUCUUGCUUUUCCUUCCUGGUGAGGUCCUCUUGAUUUCCCUUCCUCUUCUUUUCUCAGCUUCAGGACAUGUCCAGAGCUAGCAGAUUUCAUGUUUGAAAGAACAGUAGAUCAGUGAUAAAAUUUCUAAAAAUUACAUCACACAGUAGGUUUCCCUUCCUAAAAGAGACGAUAGCACACAGUGAUUUUUCUCUCUGACGGUAAGAGUGUUGGUUGUUAACUUGGUAAAUUAUAUCCAGUUUUCUUCAAAACUCUUAAUUUCCCUGGCAGAGUGCUCAGUAACUCUUGGCUGGCCUUUGGGGCCAGAGUCUGCUAAAUUGGAGCUCCUCGCCACUACCCGCCGCCCUCCCCAAGCCAACAACGUCCCUGACAAGCAAAACUGCUGGUUAAGUCAGCCGGCCUGUUUUUUAAGGGAAAGGUAGAUCCUGCCCUUUUUCUUUUUAGAGACGGGGCAGCAAAAACAGCCAAUAGCCAGAGGAAUCAAUGAACGUCCUCAGCCCACCAUGGACUGUGGUGGGCCUCCGUGUGGCUCCUCGUAGUAACGGGUCCCGAAUAUACUGUGAGGCUCAGACGCUUCCUUCCUGUGUGGGUGGAGUUGAACAGUUCAGGACGACUACAGGGUGUCUGGAGAAUCGAACCUUUCCCCUCCAGGUUGUCCGUUUUAAAAAUGCCUCUAAGAUAUCUAACUGAAUCGUUUUCAUUUUCAUUAUUAGCGCAAGUAUCGGCAGCUUCAAGCAGAGUAAGCUGUGUCUCAGAUCUCAUAGUUAGUAAACUUGGAACUGCCCUUUCUGGAAGCUGAAAACGGUUCUUGGAGUUAAGAUCUUCACGUCUAUUUAAAAUGAUUACAGAGCAGGUGAAAUCUGACUCUCCUUAAGUUGAAUUAGGUCCAAUUUGCAGAAUCUAGAGUUGCUUCUAAUGAUCUAAAGUACUGUAGCAUCACUAUCCUGAUGAAAAAGCAGGGUUUUUCAGAAGACGGGGAGCUCGUUUCCAAGGCGCUGAUAAAAAUCAGUAUCAGGACUUGAAGCCAGGCCGAGUCUGGUAGACGGGAUGCAGCCUCCCAUCUGCAUGUGUCCUUUGUUUUAGAACAGGGCUGUUUCUGAAAACUUGCCGGGGACACCAAUCAGUUUAAUGGGGGAAUGACUAUAAAAACAUCCUAUAAAGAAGUUAGUCCUUUUGGUGUAGGACUCCCCCAACCUCUUCAUCUGAUUAGGUGGUUCAGCUUUUCUUAUCUUGCAUUUUUUGAGUUAUAAUUAUACUUGGGGGGGGGGGGUCUUAAUAUAGCCUGAGGUCCUAGUCAGCUUAUUCAGAGCAAUAUUAUAUGAAUUUCCAACUUGGGGGUGCCAUUCAUUCCAGGCGUGGCAGGAAUUGAAAAAAAGGAAAGAUGAUGCUCUCCUGCCAGCAUAAAGGUGUAGGCUGUCCAGGUGAAAUGUUGUCAGUGGGUUGGGGAAGAUUUAAAUUGCAGAACUCUAAAUCUUGUUGAUCUUUGCAGUCAAAAUUUGCUCACCUCACCGUCAUGAACUCCUGUUACUUGCAUAGAAAGACCCUGUCAGGUGGUCGGACUGGACCACAUAAGAGGUGGUGACGGCUUGAGCACUUCCUACUUUAUCCGUUUCACAUUUGCCGAACAGGCUGGUGGGGGUUAGGGCGGUUUGGUUUUGGUACGAAUGCAAAAUGAAAAGCAAAAAUGGAUUAUUAGGUCUUUUUCAAGACUUUGACUCAGAUUUGUACUUUAUGAAAGGAACAUGAAUAUCAAACCUGUUUAUACAGAAAUAAGACUGUAUAGAAAACAAAGUAUGUUGUGUAUAGUGAUAUUUUAUGUUUACCCAAUGCCUGUGCUAAUCUUUGUGCUCAGCUUUGAAUUAUAUGUAUGUUUACAUAGGACAUUUUUUUAAAUAAAAAGAACGGGCGUCUAAAAGCUUAAGGUAUAGAAAGGAGAUAGUUUCUUAAUUCUUACCAUCUGAUUAGGUGGUGUGUUUUAGACUUUUGGUGUUUAAAUAAAACUUUUAAGAAUAAGAAUACCUUUUCCUUGGAAUACCCCGCUUCCAGUAAAGUGGGCUGCUUCUCUGCACUGUAUAUAUGUACAUAGUGUUCAUUAUUAGAUUGUAAGCUCCUCGAGGGCAGGAACUGUCUGCUUCAUCUUGGUAGCUCCUGCAGCACCUAAUGUAAAGUGCCUUGCAGAGAGUAGGUGCUCCCGAUUCAUAGAAUGAGUAACUUCCUGCCACCUUUAAGAUGGAGCAUGGCUCCCUUCUUCCAGCACAUUCAAAACCACAAAGACUAAGGACCUGCCCGAGGAGGGCCCGAUUCCUUCUUGGGUUUGAACGGAGUGUCCUGGGUUGAACCGGACCAUGCCAUGUCCUUAGCACUAUCUAGCCUUCUUUCCCUGAAGAUCCUUCACCAGUGUCCUGAGCUUUUAUUUAAUACUUAGGACAAAGGUUGCUGGAAAACGUUCGAAGUGGAAAUUAUAGAAAAAAUGAAAUGGAGAUUUUGGAGGGGGUGCGUGUGUCCAUACACGGCCCCGUGGGGAAUCUUACUUGAGUUACCACUAAAGAAAAAGGUAACGGGUACUCAGUUUCUUUACCAGUUAGCUGGUUGGCCAGUUUUCCAGUUAAUGGAAGAUCCCUGGUCUUUCACUUUUCCCCAUUUUGGAUACCCCUCCAUGGCUCGUAUGGUUCUAGUGCUCAGAGUCCAGUCAGGUUGCGGGGGUGGCUAGUGCCGCGCACAUGGCAUCAUGUUCUGUAAGCGUGGGGUCACCUCGAAUGUGUCGUGUUUGUAUGCAGAGCCACUGGUAGCCUCUUGGUCACUUUCUUAUUCAAAAUAAAUAAAUAACAGAAUUAUUUGUA
This is a non-coding RNA of Leptonychotes weddellii (Weddell seal), 7190 nucleotides long. NCBI's taxonomy places the organism in Eukaryota, Metazoa, Chordata, Mammalia, Carnivora, Phocidae. The record is from RefSeq and is a predicted model, not a curated record.